UACGUAGGGCGCAAGCGUUGUCCGGAAUUAUUGGGCGUAAAGAGCUCGUAGGCGGCUUGUCGCGUCGACUGUGAAAGCCCGCGGCUCAACCGCGGGUCUGCAGUCGAUACGGGCAGGCUAGAGUUCGGUAGGGGAGACUGGAAUUCCUGGUGUAGCGGUGAAAUGCGCAGAUAUCAGGAGGAACACCGAUGGCGAAGGCAGGUCUCUGGGCCGAUACUGACGCUGAGGAGCGAAAGCGUGGGGAGCGAACAGG
Molecule: ribosomal RNA, 253 nt
Filed under: uncultured bacterium
Lineage: Bacteria
Description: partial 16S ribosomal RNA
Rfam family: Bacterial small subunit ribosomal RNA
Source: RNAcentral